Molecule: long non-coding RNA, 192 nt
Organism: Hordeum vulgare subsp. vulgare (domesticated barley)
Lineage: Eukaryota; Viridiplantae; Streptophyta; Magnoliopsida; Poales; Poaceae
Exons: 3
Source: RefSeq, a predicted model, not a curated record
GCGGACGGCGACCACGAGCUCUUCAUCCGCGGUAAUCGGAUUAUAUGGAGUAAUGGCUCUCGAGUUCACAAAAGAUACGCUUUUCCAAACACAGUCAUAAUGGCCUGCUGGUGUCGUAUGGAGGCACUUAGUGAUGCCCUUUUGUGCGUUCUUCAAGUUGAUACUUUAUCUAUAUAUGAUGUAACUGGUAAG